Molecule: ribosomal RNA, 959 nt
Filed under: Geastrum minimum
Lineage: Eukaryota; Fungi; Basidiomycota; Agaricomycetes; Geastrales; Geastraceae
Description: eukaryotic LSU rRNA
Rfam family: Eukaryotic large subunit ribosomal RNA
Source: RNAcentral
UUUGACCUCAAAUCAGGUAGGACUACCCGSUGAACUUAAGCAUAUCAAUAAGCGGAGGAAAAGAAACUAACAAGGAUUCCCCUAGUAACGGCGAGUGAAGAGGGAAAAGCUCAAAUUUGAAAUCUGGCAGUCUAAGGCUGUCCGAGUUGUAAUCUAGAGAAGUGUUUUCCGUGCUGGACCGUGUACAAGUCCUUUGGAACAAGGCGUCAUAGAGGGUGAGAAUCCCGUCUACGACACGGACUACCAGUGCUCUGUGAUACACUCUCAACGAGUCGAGUUGUUUGGGAAUGCAGCUCAAAAUGGGUGGUAAAUUCCAUCUAAAGCUAAAUACAGGCGAAAGACCGAUAGCGAACAAGUACCGUGAGGGAAAGAUGAAAAGCACUUUGGAAAGAGAGUUAAACAGUACGUGAAAUUGUUGAAAGGGAAACGCUUGAAGUCAGUCGCGUCUUCAGAAAUUCAGCCUGGCUUCUGCCUGGUGUACUUUUCUGUUGGACGGGCCAGCAUCAGUUUUGGUCGCCAGAAAAAGGUGGGAGGAACGUGGCACCUCCGGGUGUGUUAUAGCCUCUCAUCGUAUGUGGCGGCUGGGACUGAGGACCGCAGCACGCCUUUAAUGGCCGGGGUUCGCCCACGUAACGUGCUUAGGAUGCUGGCGUAAUGGCUUUAAACGACCCGUCUUGAAACACGGACCAAGGAGUCUAACAUGCCUGCGAGUAUUUGGGUGGUAAACCCAUAUGCGGAAUGAAAGUGAACAGUUGGGACUUCUGUCAUGGAAGGCACCGACGCCCGGACCAGACCUAUUGUGACGGAUCCGAGGUAGAGCAUGUAUGUUGGGACCCGAAAGAUGGUGAACUAUGCCUGAGUAGGGUGAAGCCAGAGGAAACUCUGGUGGAGGCUCGUAGCGAUUCUGACGUGCAAAUCGAUCGUCGAACUUGGGUAUAGGGGCGAAAGACUAAUCGAAC